CAGCCGCCGCGGUAAUGCGAAGGGUGCAAGCGUUAAUCGGAAUUACUGGGCGUAAAGCGUGCGUAGGCGGUGAGUUAAGUCUGCUGUGAAAUCCCCGGGCUCAACCUGGGAAUGGCAGUGGAUACUGGCUCGCUAGAGUGUGUCAGAGGAUGGUGGAAUUCCCGGUGUAGCGGCGAAAUGCGUAGAGAUCGGGAGGAACAUCAGUGGCGAAGGCGGCCAUCUGGGACAACACUGACGCUGAGGCACGAAAGCGUGGGGAGCAAACAGGAUUAGAGACCCCCGUAGUCCCUGUCUCUUAUAC
This 301-nucleotide ribosomal RNA is filed under the name uncultured bacterium. Its description in RNAcentral is "partial 16S ribosomal RNA". It matches the Rfam family "Bacterial small subunit ribosomal RNA", at positions 509 to 807 of the family's 1533-position model. The record is from RNAcentral.